AAUGAACGCUGGCGGCAUGCCUAACACAUGCAAGUCGAACGAAGUCCUUCGGGGCUUAGUGGCGCACGGGUGCGUAACGCGUGGGAAUCUGCCCCUUGGUUCGGAAUAACAGUUGGAAACGACUGCUAAUACCGGAUGAUGACGUAAGUCCAAAGAUUUAUCGCCGAGGGAUGAGCCCGCGUAGGAUUAGGUAGUUGGUGUGGUAAAGGCACACCAAGCCGACGAUCCUUAGCUGGUCUGAGAGGAUGAUCAGCCACACUGGGACUGAGACACGGCCCAGACUCCUACGGGAGGCAGCAGUGGGGAAUAUUGGACAAUGGGCGGAAGCCUGAUGCAGCAACGCCGCGUGAGGGAUGACGGCCUUCGGGUUGUAAACCUCUUUUAGCAGGGAAGAAGCGAAAGUGACGGUACCUGCAGAAAAAGCGCCGGCUAACUACGUGC
RNAcentral lists this ribosomal RNA (441 nucleotides) under uncultured bacterium. RNAcentral's name for it is "bacterial SSU rRNA". It matches the Rfam family "Bacterial small subunit ribosomal RNA", at positions 29 to 508 of the family's 1533-position model. The record is from RNAcentral.